UUUCAAGCGUAUCAUGCUACACUUUCCAAUAAUUUACAUAAGAAAUCUCCUUUAACAGUCAGAAUUACAACAAAUUCUACAACAAUUUUCAGAACGAACAUACAUAUCACCCUUCAACCUUUAACCAUUAAGGAAAAUAAAUGGCAACAAAUGUUCAAUAGUGCCAAACUGUAAGUCACAUCUCAGUGAUCAGCACAAAAAGUGUGGUAGCUGACCUUGACCUUAAAAUCCUGCUUAACGGAUUUACAUCCUACACAAAUCUUGUUUAAGAUUUGAACAACUUCCACAAGAUAAUAAGGAUGAACUACUGAGCAUGGAAAUUGGAUACGCCCAUAAUGACCUAGAAAUUAAAACGAUUGAUUAAAACCAAUUCCAAAAUUGAAGACAACCACAUCAAGAACAAUGUUAAAUGUUUAUCCACACCUUCACAGUUCUUUAACUUGUUUUCGGCACCACAAGUAUGUUAAGUUUUUAGUAAGCUGAUAUAUACAGGAAUUGGAUUUUAGAGGGAGCUGAAAAGACAGAGAGAGUGAGAGGCAAGGUUUGUUCACAACUGCAACUCUACUCCACUGCAGAGAGCAACAUUUCAUUCAUAUUCAUUCCUUUCUUUUACAUCAGACAUCAUAACCGUUCAAUUACAUGAGCCAAUGUGAUUUUGACACAUGGCAAAACAAAGCAUAUGAGCCAUUCAAAAAGAGUCCUGAUCUAAGACCAUACACUUGGCAUAUGAGCACAAGUUAUCACAUCAUAAAACAGCUACUCAAUAGAACAAAGAUAAAAUAGAUAAGUAAAUCAUUUACUAACUUGAAAUUAGUAAGCACUCAAGUUGUUGAAUCUGUCUUUGGGAAGAGCCUUGGUAAAGAUGUCUGCAAUUUGUUCUUCACUCUUGCAGUAAAUCAGAUCAAUGGUACCUUCUUGAAUUGCAUCUCGAAUAAAGUGAAACUUCCUGCCAAUAUGCUUGGUUCUUUGAUGAAACACAGAAUUCUUAGACAUAGCUAUAACUGAAGUGUUGUCACAGAAUAGCGAUGUUGCUGCAGCUUGCUCUUCUCCAAAGUCCUUGAGCACAAACCUAAGCCAAAUGGCCUGAGAUGUUGCUUCAGCUGCACUAACAUACUCUGCUUCUGCAGUUGAAAGAGCUACACUGUGCUGUUUGACUGAAGCCCAUGAGAAUGCCCCACUUCCAAAUGAAAAAGCAUACCCUGAGGUGCUUUUCAUAUCCUCCUCAGAUCCACUCCAGUCACUUUCGCAAUAUCCAAUCAGCAAGGCAGAUUUUCCAUUCAAAUAUUCAAUUCCAAAGCCAAUUGUUCCUUGAAUGUACCUUAGGACUCGUUUAGCAGCUCCAUAAUGUUUCUUGGUAGGCUUGUGCAUAAAUCGUGCAAGUACACUAGUAGAGAACAUAAUAUCUGGUCUAGUUGCUGUUAAAUACAGAAGACUUCCAACUAUUUUCCUAUACUCACACUCAUCUGCAGGUUCACUUCCAUCUUCUCUUCUCAGUUUAUCAGUUGCAACCAAUGGAGUGCUCACUGGUUUGCAAUCUUUGAGCCCAAAUUUAUCCAAAAGAGUUAGAGCAUAUUUUUUCUGAUGUAUAAAUAUACUCCCUUUCAAUUUGAGUUACCCCCAUUCCAAGAAAGUGAUGAAGUAAACCCAAAUCUGACAUCUCAUAUUUGCACAUCAUUUCAGCUUUGAAUUCUUCCAUCAUUUCUGCAUUGCUCCCUGUGUACACAAUGUCAUCAACAUAGAUUGACACGAUCAAGGUACCAACACCUUCCAUGCUUCUCACAUAUAAAGUUGCUUCACUUGAGCUUUUGUGAAAUCCACAGUGAAUUAAAUAUGUGUCAAUUUCACUGUACCAGGCCCUUGGUGCUUGUUUUAGACCAUAGAGAGCCUUUCUCAGCCUAUACACCUUGUCUUCAGCCCCUUUAAUCACAAAACCAUCAGGUUGAUCAACAUAUACCUCAUCCUCAAGAACACCAUUCAGGAAGGCUGAUUUAACAUCUAAUUGCCACAGUUUCCAACCUUUCUGUGCAGCUAGUGCAAUGAGUGUUCUAAUAGUAUAUAACCUUGCCACUGGUGCAAAGGUUUCAUUAAAAUCAAUCUCUGGUUUCUGUGUGUAACCUUUGGCUACAAGUCUUGCCUUGUGUUUUUGAAUGGAGCCAUCAAGAUUCAGCUUUGUUUUGUAUACCCACUUCACACCCACAAUAGGUUUACUACUAGGUCUGUCAACUAAUUCCCACGUGGAAUUCUUUUCAAUCAUCAAUAUUUCUUCUGUUAUAGCCUUUUUCCAAGCAUCAUCUUUGACUGCCUCACUGAAAUCUUCAGGUUCAAUGAUGCUCAUGUUGCAUUGAGCAUAUACUUCACUCAAACUCUUCCAUUUCUGUAGAGUAUGAUCAUAACUUCCAGAGAUUGGAACUGGAGAACCAAGUGAACCAGGUUCUUGAGAUGCUUGCAGAUCUCCAGUUGAUUGUGAUCUCAGAGGAGACUGCAUUGACUGAGGUGAAUCACUUGAAUCUGGAUCAAAUUCAGAUAUCCUUGAGCUUCUUUCAUCAUUCCAAGGACUAGGAACUUGAACUGAUUCAUUAGUUUCCCAGUCCCAUAUUACUUUCUCAUCAAAGAUUACACUUCUUGAUAGUUCAACCUUUUGAGUUCUCAAGUUGAAGAUUCUAUAUCUUUUUUCACAAUUUCCAUAUCCAACGAAUACUCCCUUCUCACUAGUUUCCUCCAGUUUGUGUCUUUUCUAUGAAGGAAUGUGAAUAUAACACAUGGAACCAAAUAUCUUCAAAUGUUUGACACCUGGCUUCCUCCCACUAAAUGCCUCAAAUGGAGUUGUGUUGUUCAGAGCACUUGUUGGACAUCGGUUUUGCAGAUACACAGCUGUGUUGACAGCUUCAGCCCAAAACUUCAAGGGAAUCUUCUUUUCAAUCAUCAUAGUUCUUGCCAUUUCAAUUAUUGUCCUAUUCUUUCUCUCUGCAACACCAUUUUGUUGUGGAGAGUAGGCAACAGUCAAUUGCCUUUCUAAUCCCAUAUCUUCACAGAACCCUAAAAACUCUAGAGAUGUAUAUUCUCCACCCCUAUCACUUCUGAGUUUCUUGAUUUGAUAGCCACUAUGUAGCUCAACCAUGGAUUUAAACCUUUUGAAAAUGUUGAAGACUUGAGACUUGUGCUGCAAGAAAAAUACCCAACACAUCCUAGUGUGGUCAUCAAUAAAUGUGAGAAAGAAUUUGUUGCCUCCUAGAGUAGUUAUCUGCAUUGGGCCACAUAUAUCAGAAUGAAUAAGUUCUAAAGGUUGUGAUGCCCUCCAAACUUUUCCCUUGUCAAAUGAUUCCUUGUGACCCUUCCCUGUAGCACAUCUAGAGCAAACAUGCUCAGAGACUUGUAGUCUAGGUAAGCCCUGCACCAUUUCCUUCUCUUGCAGAAGCAUCAAACUAAUGUAGUUUAGAUGUCCAUAUCUUCUGUGCCACAACUAAGAUGACUCUUCAACAGUUGCUCUAUUAGCCAUGUGAGGAUUAACAUAUUCCAAACUUAAUGGAAAGCAUCUGUUUCCUUUCAUUGGAACACUUGCAAUCAGAUCUUCCAUCUGUCUAUCUCCAUAAAUAUCAACCAUGUAAUCACCAAACACAAGCCAAUGUCCAUGUUCUACCAUCUGCCCUACACUCAAUAAGUUUUCAUCCAAUCCAGGUACAAUCAUAACUUCUUUAAUAUACCUAGUCACACCUUUCAUCUCAAUCACCAAUGUGCCUUUGCCUAUUGACUGCACUAAAUUUCCAGUGCCCAUUUUAACUCUACACUUCACAUUCUUAUCAACAUCAAUAAGCAAGGAUUCAUGGGAGGUCAUAUGAUUGCUAUAUGCACUAUCUACAUACCAUAUAUUCAUACUUCUUCCAAUAGUAGCAGAAUGGCAGGCAUAAAACAUGGUUGCAGAUUCUGUUACCUGAUUCGCAUAGUUUACAAGUUUUCCAGACUUGUUUGGUUGAUCACAAUCCUUGAUGAAAUGACCGAAACGAUUGCAUCCAUGACAUUUCGGCUUCCCUUUAAACCAGCACUCACCAUAGUGCAGUUUAUCACAAUGCUUGCAUUUUCCCUUAGACUGAUCGGAUUUUCCUCCUUGAUCAUAUUUGCCACCUCGAUUAGCAAGAUUCUGAGGUUUAGGAUCCCAUUUCUUUCCUUUUGAUUUCCAAUCCUUCUUUGGUUUAGAAUUACCAAACGAGAGAUUUGGUUGGGUUCUUUUCGAAUUCAGAUUCAGAGUACUGAAAGCUCUUUCAAUGGUACUCUCAGCAUGCCUAUCAAGGUGUUAUGCAAACCCUCUUAAUGCUGCAAUCACCUCUUGUACCUCAAUAGUUUCAAUAUCUUUAGUUUGUUCAAUUACAUAACAAACAGGAUCAAACUCCUUAGUUAAGCUUAUGAGCAAUUUCUGAACUAAUCGCUCUCUAGGUAAAUCUUCCCCAUAACCCUUCAUCUGAUUUACCAACUCGAGAAGACGAGUGAGAUACAUAGACAGAGUUUCAUCAUCCCUCAUCCUUGUGUACUCGAAAUCACGGCGUAGACCCUGCAACUUGAUGGAUCUCACUUGCUUAUCACCAUGAAAUUCCUGAUGUAGGAUAUCCCAAGCACCCUUUGAGGUCUCUUCGUUUGAGAUUCUGGGAAAGAUGUCAUCCGAGACAGCUCCUUGGAUUAUACCCAAUGCCUUAGCAUCCUUCAUUAGCUUGUCGCUCAGAGAAACUCUCUCCGACUCCGAUGAGCCUUCAUCUCCAAUCUUCUUAUCCUUCGAUUAUGAAAUUUCAAACCCCUUUUCAACUAAAUCCCAGAUUCCAUGUGAUUUGAAAAUAGUUCUCAUUCGGAUCUUCCAAAAUUCAUAGUUGUCACCAUUGAAUAUUGGAGCCCGAAGAUCACUACCACCAGAUCCAGCCAUUUGAGACUUGAAUCGACAAACUGAGUCGGAAAUUUCACGUUGGAUUUCCGAGCACAGCACUCACAGAUCUUACGCCCCGAUUCCAGAUAGAACCUGAGCUCUAGAUACCAUGUUAAGUUUUUAGUAAGCUGAUAUAUAUAGGAAUUGGAUUUUAGAGGGAGCUGAAAAGACAGAGAGAGUGAGAGGCAAGGUUUGUUCACAACUACAACUCUACUCAACUGCAAAGAGCAACAUUUCAUUCAUAUUCAUUCCUUUCUUUUACAUCAGACAUCAUAACCGUUCAAUUACAUGAGCCAAUGUGAUUUUGACACAUGGCAGAACAAAGCAUAUGAGCCAUUGAAAAAGAGUCCUGAUCUAAGACCAUACACUUGGCAUAUGAGCACAAGUUAUCACAUCAUAAAACAGCUACUCAAUAGAACAAAGAUAAAAUAGAUAAGUAAAUAAUUUACCAACUUGAAAUUAGUAAGCAAUUUACUUUUCAACAAAGUAGAGCACAGGCCGGAUGGAUUUGGAAGUACGAACCUAGGAUCAGUGACCUCACUGGCUGUAUUGAUUGGUGUUUCUUCAGAUAUC
This 5479-nucleotide long non-coding RNA is filed under the name Malus domestica (apple). Its description in RNAcentral is "long non-coding RNA (MDOM_LNC005886)". The record is from RNAcentral. Lineage: Eukaryota; Viridiplantae; Streptophyta; Magnoliopsida; Rosales; Rosaceae.